RNAcentral lists this unclassified non-coding RNA (358 nucleotides) under soil metagenome. Its description in RNAcentral is "partial contains 5.8S ribosomal RNA, internal transcribed spacer 2, and large subunit ribosomal RNA". The stretch from base 1 to 120 matches the Rfam family "5.8S ribosomal RNA", at positions 35 to 154 of the family's 154-position model. The record is from RNAcentral.
GAUGAAGAACGUAGCGAAAUGCGAUAAGUAAUGUGAAUUGCAGAAUUCAGUGAAUCAUCGAAUCUUUGAACGCACAUUGCGCCCGUCAGUAUUCUGGCGGGCAUGCCUGUUCGAGCGUCAUUACGCCCCUCAAGUCCCCUGUGGACUUGGUGUUGGGGAUCGGCGAGGCUGGUUUUCCCGCACAGCCGUCCCUUAAAUUAAUUGGCGGUCUCGCCGUGGCCCUCCUCUGCGCAGUAGUAAAACACUCGCAACAGGAGCCCGGCGCGGUCCACUGCCGUAAAACCCCCCAACUUUUUAUAGUUGACCUCGAAUCAGGUAGGACUACCCGCUGAACUUAAGCAUAUCAAUAAGCGGAGGA